GACGUAGGAUGCAAGCGUUGUCCGGAUUUAUUGGGCGUAAAGAGUUCGUAGGCGGUUCGUUAAGUCUGAUGUUAAAUAUCGGGGCUCAACCUCGGGAGUGCAUUGGAUACUGGCGGACUGGAGUGUGGUAGAGGUUAGUGGAAUUCCCAGUGUAGCGGUGAAAUGCGUAGAUAUUGGGAAGAACACCAGUGGCGUAGGCGACUAACUGGGCCAUAACUGACACUGAGAAGCGAAAGCAUGGGGAGCGAACAGG
This 253-nucleotide ribosomal RNA is filed under the name uncultured bacterium. RNAcentral describes it as "partial 16S ribosomal RNA". It matches the Rfam family "Bacterial small subunit ribosomal RNA", at positions 524 to 776 of the family's 1533-position model. The record is from RNAcentral.